CCUACGGGAGGCAGCAGUGAGGAAUAUUGGUCAAUGGACGCGAGUCUGAACCAGCCAAGUAGCGUGAAGGAUGACUGCCCUAUGGGUUGUAAACUUCUUUUAUAAAGGAAUAAACCCAGACACGCGUGCCUUUCUGCAUGUAUCUUACGAAUAAGGAUCGGCUAACUCCGUGCCAGCAGCCGCGGUAAUACGGAGGAUCCGAGCGUUAUCCGGAUUUAUUGGGUUUAAAGGGAGCGUAGAUGGGUUGUUAAGUUAGAUGUGAAAGUUUGCGGCUCAACCAUGAAAUUGCGAUUGAUACUGGUAGUCUUGAGUGUAGUUGCGGUAGGCGGAAUGCGUGGUGUAGCGGUGAAAUGCUUAGAGAUCACACAGAACCCCGAUUGCGAAGGCAGCUUACUAAGCUAUGACUGACAUUGAUGCACGAAAGUGUGGGUAUCAAACAGGAUUAGAUACCCGGGUAGUC
This 460-nucleotide ribosomal RNA is filed under the name uncultured bacterium. Its description in RNAcentral is "partial 16S ribosomal RNA". It matches the Rfam family "Bacterial small subunit ribosomal RNA", at positions 338 to 795 of the family's 1533-position model. The record is from RNAcentral.